GAUGAACGCUGGCGGCGUGCCUAAUACAUGCAAGUCGAGCGAACAGAUGAGAAGCUUGCUUCUCUGAUGUUAGCGGCGGACGGGUGAGUAACACGUGGGUAACCUACCUAUAAGACUGGGAUAACUCCGGGAAACCGGGGCUAAUACCGGAUAAUAUUUUGAACCGCAUGGUUCAAUAGUGAAAGACGGUUUCGGCUGUCACUUAUAGAUGGACCCGCGCCGUAUUAGCUAGUUGGUAAGGUAACGGCUUACCAAGGCGACGAUACGUAGCCGACCUGAGAGGGUGAUCGGCCACACUGGAACUGAGACACGGUCCAGACUCCUACGGGAGGCAGCAGUAGGGAAUCGCAAUGGGCGAAAGCCUGACGGAGCAACGCCGCGUGAGUGAUGAAGGUCUUCGGAUCGUAAAACUCUGUUGUUAGGGAAGAACAAAUUUGUUAGUAACUGAACAAGUCUUGACGGUACCUAACCAGAAAGCCACGGCUAACUACGUGCCAGCAGCCGCGGUAAUACGUAGGUGGCAAGCGUUAUCCGGAAUUAUUGGGCGUAAAGCGCGCGUAGGCGGUUUCUUAAGUCUGAUGUGAAAGCCCACGGCUCAACCGUGGAGGGUCAUUGGAAACUGGGAAACUUGAGUGCAGAAGAGGAGAGUGGAAUUCCAUGUGUAGCGGUGAAAUGCGCAGAGAUAUGGAGGAACACCAGUGGCGAAGGCGGCUCUCUGGUCUGUAACUGACGCUGAUGUGCGAAAGCGUGGGGAUCAAACAGGAUUAGAUACCCUGGUAGUCCACGCCGUAAACGAUGAGUGCUAAGUGUUAGGGGGUUUCCGCCCCUUAGUCAGCUAACGCAUUAAGCACUCCGCCUGGGGAGUACGACCGCAAGGUUGAAACUCAAAGGAAUUGACGGGGACCCGCACAAGCGGUGGAGCAUGUGGUUUAAUUCGAAGCAACGCGAAGAACCUUACCAAAUCUUGACAUCCUUUGACCGCUCUAGAGAUAGAGUCUUCCCCUUCGGGGGACAAAGUGACAGGUGGUGCAUGGUUGUCGUCAGCUCGUGUCGUGAGAUGUUGGGUUAAGUCCCGCAACGAGCGCAACCCUUAAGCUUAGUUGCCAUCAUUAAGUUGGGCACUCUAGGUUGACUGCCGGUGACAAACCGGAGGAAGGUGGGGAUGACGUCAAAUCAUCAUGCCCCUUAUGAUUUGGGCUACACACGUGCUACAAUGGAUAAUACAAAGGGCAGCGAAUCCGCGAGGCAAAUCCCAUAAAAUUAUUCUCAGUUCGGAUUGUAGUCUGCAACUCGACUACAUGAAGCUGGAAUCGCUAGUAAUCGUAGAUCAGCAUGCUACGGUGAAUACGUUCCCGGGUCUUGUACACACCGCCCGUCACACCACGAGAGUUUGUAACACCCGAAGCCGGUGGAGUAACCUUUUAGGAG
RNAcentral lists this ribosomal RNA (1428 nucleotides) under Mammaliicoccus sciuri. RNAcentral describes it as "bacterial SSU rRNA". It matches the Rfam family "Bacterial small subunit ribosomal RNA". The record is from RNAcentral. Lineage: Bacteria; Bacillati; Bacillota; Bacilli; Caryophanales; Staphylococcaceae.